UACGUAGGUGGCAAGCGUUGUCCGGAUUUACUGGGCGUAAAGGGUAUGCAGGCGGGUUUUUAAGUAGAAAGUGAAAGGUUGGAGCUCAACUCCGACACUGCUUUCUAUACUGGGAGCCUUGAGUGCCGGAGAGGAAGAGGGAACUGCACGUGUAGCGGUGAUAUGCGUUGAGAUGUGCAGGAACACCAAUGGCGAAAGCACUCUUCUGGACGGCCACUGACGCUGAGAUACGAAAGCCAAGGGAGCGAACAGG
RNAcentral lists this ribosomal RNA (253 nucleotides) under uncultured bacterium. RNAcentral describes it as "partial 16S ribosomal RNA". It matches the Rfam family "Bacterial small subunit ribosomal RNA", at positions 524 to 776 of the family's 1533-position model. The record is from RNAcentral.